Molecule: ribosomal RNA, 321 nt
Filed under: Triticum aestivum (bread wheat)
Lineage: Eukaryota; Viridiplantae; Streptophyta; Magnoliopsida; Poales; Poaceae
Description: partial small subunit ribosomal RNA
Source: RNAcentral
AUGGCGUCCGUGAAGCUCGCCGCCGUCCUCUUGGCGUGCGCCGCGCUCAUGGCGACGGCGGCGGCGUACGCGCCGUACCGGCCGGAGCCCGAGCCCUGCAAGACGCAGGCCAUGUACUUCAAGAACUGCCUCCUCCUCGUGAGCGAGUGCGAGAAGUGCUGCACGGGCGUGGUGGCCGACCCCGCGUGCUACUGCGAGGUGGAGCGGGAGGCGUUGAUCGACUGCGCGCCCGGCCACCACUGCAGCCGCGCCGACAAGAAGAUCAAGAUCGCCGAGAUGAACCUCUCCUGCAUGAAGAACCUCAAGUGCAAGCAUGCGUGA